UGGGGAAUUUUGGACAAUGGGGGCAACCCUGAUCCAGCAAUGCCGCGUGUGUGAAGAAGGCCUUCGGGUUGUAAAGCACUUUUGUCCGGAAAGAAAACGCCGUGGUUAAUACCCGUGGCGGAUGACGGUACCGGAAGAAUAAGCACCGGCUAACUACGUGCCAGCAGCCGCGGUAAUACGUAGGGUGCAAGCGUUAAUCGGAAUUACUGGGCGUAAAGCGUGCGCAGGCGGUCCGCUAAGACAGAUGUGAAAUCCCCGGGCUUAACCUGGGAACUGCAUUUGUGACUGGCGGGCUAGAGUAUGGCAGAGGGGGGUAGAAUUCCACGUGUAGCAGUGAAAUGCGUAGAGAUGUGGAGGAAUACCGAUGGCGAAGGCAGCCCCCUGGGCCAAUACUGACGCUCAUGCACGAAAGCGUGGGGAGCAAACAGGAUUAGAUACCCUGGUAGUCCACGCCCUAAACGAUGUCAACUAGUUGUUGGGGAUUCAUUUCCUUAGUAACGUAGCUAACCGCGUGAAGUUGACCGCCUGGGGAGUACGGUCGCAAGAUUUAAAAACUCAAAGG
RNAcentral lists this ribosomal RNA (562 nucleotides) under uncultured bacterium. RNAcentral's name for it is "partial 16S ribosomal RNA". It matches the Rfam family "Bacterial small subunit ribosomal RNA", at positions 355 to 907 of the family's 1533-position model. The record is from RNAcentral.